UACGUAGGGGGCGAGCGUUAUCCGGAGUUACUGGGCGUAAAGCGCACGCAGGCGGUCGUGCAAGUUUGGGGUUACAGCUCCCGGCUUAACUGGGAGAGCGCCUUGAAGACUGCGCGACUUGAGGGCCAGAGAGGGACACAGAAUUCCGGGUGUAGUGGUGAAAUGCGUAGAUAUCCGGAGGAAUACCAAAGGCGAAGGCAGUGUCCUGGCUGGUACCUGACGCUCAGGUGCGAAAGCUAGGGGAGCGAACGGG
Molecule: ribosomal RNA, 253 nt
Filed under: uncultured bacterium
Lineage: Bacteria
Description: partial 16S ribosomal RNA
Rfam family: Bacterial small subunit ribosomal RNA
Source: RNAcentral